This 700-nucleotide ribosomal RNA is filed under the name Microbacterium hydrocarbonoxydans. RNAcentral's name for it is "bacterial SSU rRNA". It matches the Rfam family "Bacterial small subunit ribosomal RNA", at positions 98 to 812 of the family's 1533-position model. The record is from RNAcentral. Lineage: Bacteria; Bacillati; Actinomycetota; Actinomycetes; Micrococcales; Microbacteriaceae.
GCGAACGGGUGAGUAACACGUGAGCAACCUGCCCCUGACUCUGGGAUAAGCGCUGGAAACGGCGUCUAAUACUGGAUACGAACCACGAAGGCAUCUUCAGUGGUUGGAAAGAAUUUCGGUUGGGGAUGGGCUCGCGGCCUAUCAGCUUGUUGGUGAGGUAAUGGCUCACCAAGGCGUCGACGGGUAGCCGGCCUGAGAGGGUGACCGGCCACACUGGGACUGAGACACGGCCCAGACUCCUACGGGAGGCAGCAGUGGGGAAUAUUGCACAAUGGGCGAAAGCCUGAUGCAGCAACGCCGCGUGAGGGAUGACGGCCUUCGGGUUGUAAACCUCUUUUAGCAGGGAAGAAGCGAAAGUGACGGUACCUGCAGAAAAAGCGCCGGCUAACUACGUGCCAGCAGCCGCGGUAAUACGUAGGGCGCAAGCGUUAUCCGGAAUUAUUGGGCGUAAAGAGCUCGUAGGCGGUUUGUCGCGUCUGCUGUGAAAUCCGGAGGCUCAACCUCCGGCCUGCAGUGGGUACGGGCAGACUAGAGUGCGGUAGGGGAGAUUGGAAUUCCUGGUGUAGCGGUGGAAUGCGCAGAUAUCAGGAGGAACACCGAUGGCGAAGGCAGAUCUCUGGGCCGUAACUGACGCUGAGGAGCGAAAGGGUGGGGAGCAAACAGGCUUAGAUACCCUGGUAGUCCACCCCGUAAACGUUGG